RNAcentral lists this ribosomal RNA (400 nucleotides) under uncultured bacterium. RNAcentral describes it as "bacterial SSU rRNA". It matches the Rfam family "Bacterial small subunit ribosomal RNA", at positions 359 to 776 of the family's 1533-position model. The record is from RNAcentral.
GAAUAUUGGACAAUGGGCGAAAGCCUGAUCCAGCAAUGCCGCGUGAGUGAUGAAGGCCUUAGGGUUGUAAAGCUCUUUUACCCGGGAUGAUAAUGACAGUACCGGGAGAAUAAGCCCCGGCUAACUCCGUGCCAGCAGCCGCGGUAAUACGGAGGGGGCUAGCGUUGUUCGGAAUUACUGGGCGUAAAGCGCGCGUAGGCGGCUUUGUAAGUCAGAGGUGAAAUCCCGGGGCUCAACUCCGGAACUGCCUUUGAAACUGCAUCGCUUGAAUCCGGGAGAGGUGAGUGGAAUUCCGAGUGUAGAGGUGAAAUUCGUAGAUAUUCGGAAGAACACCAGUGGCGAAGGCGGCUCACUGGACCGGUAUUGACGCUGAGGUGCGAAAGCGUGGGGAGCAAACAGG